Non-coding RNA from Meleagris gallopavo (turkey), 2638 nucleotides. Lineage: Eukaryota; Metazoa; Chordata; Aves; Galliformes; Phasianidae. The record is from RefSeq and is a predicted model, not a curated record.
CCCUGGGAGCACAGGUGAAGGCAAUUCAGCUGUGAGACAGGAAGGGAUGGAGCCUGGCUGCACCCUUCUUAGACCUCAUUGAAGGGCUGACUGCUAAUGGGGAAGGAUCUCUGGGUGGAGAUUCUUCCUUGUGGAGUCUUUCCUGUAAGCCUAGAUCCUUAGAGAUGGGUAAGAAAGCGGAUUUAAGUCGUAUUGCUGUUUGCAUCAGUACUGAAGUUAUCCUGAAGCUGUCCAUGGGAUCUGAACGUGGGUUGUAUCUGACUCUGCCUUCAUCAAUGCUUUGCUUUGGGAUACUGAGCCACCACUGAGGUUCCACACAGCUGGUGGCACCUUGUCCAGACCAGGGCCCUGCGAAUGGACCCACGUGAAUGCACCAACCCAUGUCUCCCCCUUCAUUCUGCCAAAGCUAUGGAGACUGUUUCUCUCUUUAGACUGCUUGAAAAUGUACCCACGAGGUGGGUGGACUUGCCAUGACUGGAAACUUCAUCGAGGGCACCUGCCACUUCACUGAAUAGCCAUCGACAGGAGCUAAUUUCAUUUGUCAUUGGUCUGGAUAUAAGGGCUUGAGGAAGCAAGCUGUAUGCGUGGGAAGUGUUUGCCCAGUCAUCCCAGGAUUUUCCACCCAGCCUCUGAGUUGGGUUAAGGAACAGAAGCAGAUGCAUAAGUUGCUUAUGGUGGCUGCCAUGUCUGUCUGUUAUAGACUUCUCUCCCUUUUCUGAACGGGCUGGCCUUUGCAUGUGGGGUCUGGAAACCUGACCAGACCUUUGCAACACAAGCCCUGAUCUGAGAAGGUUUUUGGGACAGGUAGAGUUAAACGAUGGAAGGAAGUUUCCUUGCUUGGAAAGGACUUGCUUGUUUCCUGACUGCAAGCAUGCUGACAGGCCAUAAAAUAUGAACAGCUGCUGAAUGACAAUAGAAUUCUCAGUCUCUCAUCUGUUUCUUCUUUCUGUCCCAUGCCUGCUUUCUUUAGUGAUUUCAGGUGCAUCCUGAGAGAUGCAUCCUAAGACUGCCAUGAAUCUGAAUGUAACCUAUCUGUGCAGGCCUAACUCCCCACAGCAGCUCUGUCUCACUGCCUGCCAGGACUGCAGAGCUUAAAUGACAUUAUUGCUAUGCAGGAGCUCUCCUUGAGCUCACUGCACAAAGCUGUAAUGAAUGGAUAAUUUGAGACUUUUGUCCUUUGCUUGUGCUGUUAACUUAACCCUCCUGCUUUUGAAACCCGAAGACGGCUCUUGCUGGUGCUUGGAACAUUCACAAGGUGAAGGGGGCUGUCAGGGUAUCUUUUAAUUGUCUGCUGUGGUUUCCUUUCAGACAGCCCACCUUGAGUGCUGUUAUUGACAGAGAGGCUGGGAGGCAUUGCUGAUGGUGUCCAUGUGUGUCUUCUGUUAGAGGAUAAACAGGCACGUAUGAGUUGCUCAACAGUGAAAUGCAGCAGGAUGUGAAAAAUGGAGUUUGUAGGAUCUCUUUUAGAGUAGGCAAGAAUAAGCCACAACUUUACCUUUUUUUUUUUUUUCCUUUAUUUUUCCUUGUGUACACUCCAUGAUGUUGGCAUUUUCACUGCAACUGGUUUACACACAGAAAUGGGAUUUUUCCUGAGCUUUCAUUUCCCUCUUACUACAAUCUGAUUACCUUUAUUCUUCUAAAAAGUGCCUAGAUUACUAACAGUUUCUUAUCUUAACACAUGCUCCAUUGCAUACUUAGGAAAGGAAGCCAUUCUGUCAGUGUUUCCCUCAGCCUUGUGAACCUGUUUCUAAGCCAGAGAUACCCAGCCUUCUCCCAUCAAGUACUGCUGAACCCCACUGCAGACUAAAGAGGGAUUUGACCAGCUCCAGAUCGACCAUCCGGUUUGCUUCUCUGCGACUUGAUGGAAACUUGGGAAGGUGUCAGAUAACAGGAAAGAGCUUUGAUUGUUAGAAAUGUCCAGGUUUCAGUUGAGAGAUGUCUUGGUUAUUACUGAACAAUAGGAUUGCUCCCAAGGCUGGAUUGGUCCAUGCUGCUCAGUAAGAAAGAGCCACCCCCUUUAUGGCGUGGCAGCAGGAGUGUGGUGGAGCCAGGGCAGCUGUCCUGAAUUAGGUACCACCUGAUAUCAUGCAGAAGCUGUGUGUGGUACAGAUGGGGGCUGUUGGGGGGAGUUGGCUGGGUGGUGAGAUGUUGUGUUGCUAGCUGGGUGUCAGUCAGCAAGUAGUUGUGUCAGCUGGGGGGUGAGUAACUGCAUCGUGGAUACCAAUGUAGGUCACUCUGGAAGCAAUGUCUCCUAUGUAUUUCCAUGGAAACUACAACAAAUACAAGGAGAAAAAUAAUGCUAUUUGAUAGAUCAAGUUCCCAGCUACCAAACAGUGUUUUUUCUACAUAGUCACCACCUUUAACCAAUUUGUGCAGGUGAAUUGAUUGAGACACUAUUAAUUUCAUGGUGUGAUGUCUAUGCAUGGCUGUUCGGAACAUGGCUUGUCUUUCACAUCACUAUUGCCACUACUGAAAUGCACCGCCCACCUCUCACUGUGCUCACAUCCACUGUUUGGUCUCUGUAAACAUUCAGCAAGUGUUGACGAAUGUCAAUGGGUGCCAUUUUCCUUCAUGGGGAAAAUUCAGUUCCAGCCUUUAUCUUCAUAUGCACUUCCAUGUCGGAUGCCGUUCUGUCAGA